GACGAACGCUGGCGGCGCGCUUAACACAUGCAAGUCGAGCGAGAACCGGCCCUUCGGGGCCGGGGAAAGCGGCGAACGGGUGAGUAACACGUGGGUAAUCUGCCCUCGGUAUCGGGAUAGCCCGGGGAAACCCGGAUUAAUACCGAAUGGCCCUUCGAGUCUUCGGAUUCGCAGGAAAAGGUAGCUUCGGCCUCCGACCGAGGAUGAGCCCGCGGCGGAUUAGCUUGUUGGUGGGGUAACGGCCUACCAAGGCGGCGAUCCGUAGCUGGUCUGAGAGGACGAUCAGCCACACUGGGACUGAGACACGGCCCAGACUCCUACGGGAGGCAGCAGUGGGGAAUCUUGCGCAAUGGGCGAAAGCCUGACGCAGCGACGCCGCGUGCGGGAAGAAGGCCUUCGGGUUGUAAACCGCUUUCAGGAGGGACGAAGCCACUCGGGUGAAUAGCCCAGAGGGUGACGGUACCUCCAGAAGAAGUCCCG
This 480-nucleotide ribosomal RNA is filed under the name uncultured Actinomycetes bacterium. RNAcentral describes it as "bacterial SSU rRNA". It matches the Rfam family "Bacterial small subunit ribosomal RNA", at positions 28 to 495 of the family's 1533-position model. The record is from RNAcentral. Lineage: Bacteria; Bacillati; Actinomycetota; Actinomycetes.